GUCAAUUUUAAGCUUAUUGUAUCGUAUUCCAACAGGAUACAUUGAGUUACUUUAAUCUUUUUGAAUUUGUAAAGAUUUAUCUUGAAUCUCAGAAGUGACCUGUUUUAGAGAGAUUUCCAUGUGCUGCUAAGUAGAAUGUGUGUUCUUUGUUGUCAGGUCCAUUGGUGUCUGAUGUCAACUAAAGUAGUUUUUGUCCACUUGAUCUGUUUACUUAGUAAAGUGUAUUGAAAUCACCUGCUAGUGGAUUGAUAUUAAUCUGUGUCUUUAAAUCCAGUAGUACAUUUUUAAUGAAAUUGAGUGUACCAGAGUUUGGUGUAUAUAUGUUUAUAAUCGUAAUGUCUUCUUGGUUAACUGUUCCCUUGAUUAGAAUAAAAUAUCCCUCCUUAUCUCUUCUGAUUUGUUUCAGUUUGAAGUCUGUGUUUUCAGCUAUUAGGAUAAUAUUCUGCUUUGUUUCUUGACCAAUUCAGUUUGCCUAUGUUCCCUGAUUGAAGAAUUGAGGUCACUAAGAUCUCAAGUUAUUACUGAAAUGUGUUUGUUAAUUGAGGUCAUCAUGUUCUUGAUUUUGGGCACUGCUGUCUGUGUUCUCAGUGGACCUUGGUGUUUACAUUGUCUUUGUAUUCUUUUCCAAUGUCUCUUGGCUGUGUUUUCUUAGGUUUGGUUUGAUGGAUAUAAAAAUUUAAAAGCUGCUUGUAUCAUAGAAAAAUUUUCUUUUCUUUCAACUAUGGUAGGUACUUUUGCUGGGUAUAUUAGCCUAGGUUAGCCAUCAUGGUCUUUUAGGACUUGUAAUGCAUUGAUCUUAUGGCUUUCAUAGUUUCCACUUCUUUUUUUUUCUUCUCCAUCUUUAUUAACUUGAGUAUUUCUUAUUUACAUUUCGAUUGUUAUUCCCUUUCCCGGUUUCCGGGCCAACAUCCCCCUAACCCUCCCCCUCCUCUUCUGUAUGGGUGUUCCCCUUUCCAUCCUCCCCCCAUAGUUUCCACUUCUUAUACCCGUGUGAGUAUGUCUUUUCUUACUUCGGAAAGUUUUCUUCAAUGAUCUUGUUGAAGGUCUGUUUUAUGCAAUUGAGUUGGAAUUCUCUCUCAUCUAUGGGUAUAAUUCUAAUCUUUGGCCUUUUCAUGGUGUCCUACAUUUCCAAUAUGUUGUUUUCUUGUGCUUAAAUUUUCUUUUCUAUUACUUGCUUAUUUGAUUUAGAUCUAUUCUAUCUUUGAGUCCUGGUAUAACAUUGUCUGCUUGCUCCGUUCUUCUCAUGAUACUUUCCUUUGAGUUUUCUAACUGGGCUAUCCAGCUUUUCAGUUCCAUCCUCAUUUCAGCUUGAAUCCUUUUCUUUUUUUAAAAAAGAUUUAUUUAUUUUUAUUUAUAUGAGUACACUGCAGCUGUCUUCAGACGCACCAGAAGAGAGCAUCAGAUCUCAUUACAGAUGGUUGUGAGCUACCAUGUGGUUGCUGGGACUUGAACUCAGGACCUUUGGAAGAGCAGUCAGUGCUCUUAACCGCUGAGCCAUCUUUCCAGCUCCAUGCUUGAGUCCUUUUCAAUGUUUCUAUUUCUUUAUUGAAUUCUCUUCCCAAGUCCAGAAUUGCCUUCAUCAUUUACAUCAGCAUUAUGCUUCUGUUUCCUUUGGUAUCAUUCAUGCAUUUAUCCUCCUCAAUUCCUUUUCUUAAUUUCAUUGAGAUUUUUUUCUCUUCUCACUUCAUUUUUUCUUUCUUUGUUGUUGUUGUUGCUGCUCCUCCUCCUCCUCUUCUUUCUUCUUCUUCUUCUUUUCCUUCUUCUUCUUCUUCUUCUUCUUCUUCUUCUUCUUCUUCUUCUUCUUCUUCUUCUUCUUCUUCUCCCCCUCCUCCUUCUUUCUUCUUCUUGUUUUUGUCCUUUCUAAACUUUUUGAAUUCUUUGAUGAAAUUUAUGAUUGUUCUUUUGAACUCUGUGUCCAUUUACUUGGGAUUGUCCAGGUAUUUCUCAUUUGACAAACAUUUUACAGGACUGGUAGGUUUUGGAGAUGACAUCAUGGCCUGAUCUUUCAUAUUGUUUGUACUUUUGCAGUGAGAUUUGAGUGUGUGGACCUCUUUUGUUAGUUCUAUGUUUGAUACAAACAGAGCAGGUUAGAGCAGAAUAGAGGGUGUAAGGGCAGAUUUGGUCAAGAAGUUGGAAAUAGUUUAGGUAGGAUGAAGCCAGGUGUACAGAGCAGGAUGUGUAACAUGGUCCAAGCCAGGAGUGUGGUGGUGGAUCUGGCUGGGUGUAAAGCUUCAAUUUGGCUUGGGGAGCAGACAGAACAGGUCCUGAUAGGUGUCUAAGUGCUGGUUGAAGUACAGGUACGGGUUGCCGGAUAGGCCAAGACAUUUGAUGUGGGACCCAACCUAGAUCUAGAGGGUUGGGCAGUGUGUGCCAAAGGGGAGAGUCAGGCUGACUUACAGGGCUGGACACUUGAGAAGCUGCGAUGGGAUUUUUACUAGAGCUGAGCCAACAUAGGCACUGUGCCCAUGAACCUCCAAAACUGUGGGCCAAAUAAGUCUCUUCUCUGUAAGAAGCUAGCUUUUGUUGUGAUAAAAGAAAAUGAAUAGACCAAAUGAGUUCAGAGUUCAGUCAGGAAAGUGUUUGCCAUGUAAAUAAAAGGACCUGAGUUCAACAACCAGAACUCAAGUAAAGUUAAAAAUCAAGUGUGAGGGGAGGGAGGGCAUGUUUGUGAUCUCAGACUGGGUAAGCACAGAUACAAAGAUCCAGGAGACUCAUUGGACCUAACCUAGUUGGUAACCUCCAGGUCCUAGUAAGAGACACUGCCUCAAAAAACCCAGGGGAAUAAAGACACUGGGGGUUGACCUUUGUCUUAUGCUCUCUCUCUCUCUCUCUCUCUCUCUCUCUCUCUCUCUCUCUCUUUCUCUCUCUCUCACACAUGCACAUGUACACACACACAAACAUGCACAGUCACACACACUACACUCCACACUUACCAACACACACGUCAUACCCUCCCACAUCUCUCUCACACAGACACACACACACACACACACACAGACACACACACCCUGCAUACAUGCACACUCUGUCAAUUCUUGUCCUUUCUUUUUCCAGAGCUCCAAAGAGGUCAUUGUGAUGGUUUGAAUAUGUUUGGCCCAGGGAGUGGCACUAUUAGGAGGUGUGGUCUUGUUGGAGUAGGUGUGGUCUUCUUGGAGGAAUUCGUCACUGUGGGUGUGGGCUUUAAGACCCUUCUCCACUGCCUGGAAGCAAGUCUUCUCCUAGAGGCUGUCAGAUGAAGGUGUAGAACUCUCAGCUCCUCCUGUACCAUCCCUGCCUGGACACUGUCAUGUUCCCACCUUGAUGAUGAUGGACGGAAUCUCUGAACCUGUAAAUCAGCCCCAAUGAAACAUUGUCCUUAUAAGAGUUGCCUUGGUCAUGGUGUCUGUUCACGGUAGUAAAACCCUAACUAAGACAGCCAUGUCUGGGCUGAAAUCUCCAAAGGGAGAAUUGCUGAGUUUUAAGCUGACUUCACUCCAGGUGGGCAAGUCUGGGAGAGCAAGUAGAGGGGAAGCCUCAUGCAGUGACAGGAGUAGGGGACAGGUCAGGAGGGUUUGUUUGCCAGCAGUAUUUUUAUGGCAGUCAUCUCCUGUAUGACACUAGGGAAAAAGUAAGAACCCGAGGGAGGCAUUUUGAACAUGCACAUUCCUUUGAACAUAGCGUCACUCUGACAGAUAAACUCACACUCGUGCAGGGGUACAGAUUCGCCCACACUUGUGUACUGUGUAUUGACUGUGAUGACAAAGCUCUGAUCCAACCUACCUGGUUAUCAACCAAGGACUGUUCCAGUGAGUAUAGAAGACCCUGCACAAGAGACAGCUAUUCUCCACAUAGAAGGGUAUUGUUUUCAUUUUACCUGUAUGGAUUUUCUCUUCCAUAUAUGUAAGGCUAUGUACCACACAUGUGUCUAGUGCCUAUAGAAGGUGGAAGAGGCCAUCAGAUGCCCUGGAACUGGAAUUAUAGACAGUUGUGAGCUGUCAUGUGGGUGCUGUGAAUCAAGACUAGGUCCUCUGGAAUAACUGUACGUGCUCAUUACUCUUGUGAAUUUGGUCUAAUGCUGCUUAUAUUGUGUUCAUCUGGUCCCCCAGAUUGCACAAGAAUCCACACAUCCCCUGUCAGACACUGAGGGACCCUGCCCCCAGUUGGUUUUGAUUGGUAAAUAAAAUUGCUGGCGGCCAAUGGCUUGGCAGGGAGACAGAGGCGGGAUUUUAGGACUCCCUGGGCAAGGGGCUGAGGAAGGAGCAGGUAGAAGAUAGCUGUCAUGCCAGGGAUGGAAAGGGAGCAUCACACCUGAGAGGUGCAGGACAGAGAGACAGCCAACGCAUAAGAGCUGGGGAAGAGCAGCCUCAGGGAGUCUUCCAACUGGGUCUAGGGCAAUGAAGAUGGGAUAUAGAUUUUGGUAAUUACUCAGGAAUAUCAGAUGGGUGUGUAUUAGCCACACGGAGGUUUGGAAGUGGCUCAGCCAUUGAGCUAUUUAAGGCAUAUUAAAUAUAAGGCCGUGUGUGUGUGUGUGUGUGUGUGUGUGUGUGUGUGUGUGUGUGAGAAAGAGAGAGAGAGAGAGAGAGAGAGAGAGAGAGAGAGAGAGAGAGAGAGAACCCAGAAUGUUGGCAUGGGUAGCAAGGACUACUGCCACCUAAUUGGGGACAGCAAUACACUAUCACUGAGCUUUUUCUCUAGCCUGAGAUACAACUCUUUAAUUUCUCCAGAUCCUCAUUUAUACAGAGAAAUAGGAGGCAAAAAUCAAAAGCCCGAGGGCAAUAUUUACAACAGAAUUAGGCCCCAAAUUAUCAUUGCUAAUAUCAAUGUACAUAAGCCAAGCACCAAGACUUGCAUGCUACCCAGGGCCAAGGAAAGUAAGGAAUCCAGAAAGGUAGAUGCAAAGAGCCAACAACAACAGAGUCUCAGAACAAUCCAGGCUUUCAAGAGAAAGUUCAGGUGAUCAACUGAGACAGUGGAACCAUGAGUUCUGCCCGGCAAGGAACAAUGGAAAAGCCCCAAGACAAGGAGCAAGGGGACAGAGCAGUCACUUUGGACAGAAGAGUCAAAAUGGAACAGGGCAGUGCUAAGAGGAAGAGGAAGGAAAGACUGUGUGUGUGUGUGUGUGUGUGUGUGUGUGUGUGUGUGUGUGUGUGUCCUCAGGACACAUGGACAUUAGGAAUGUGGGACAAAGGUGAAAAGCCAACAGACUUUCACUAUGUACCUCUUGAGCUUUCACUGCUCCUGUUAUUCCUCAGGGGGGGGGGGAAUUCUCAAAGAGUCAGAAGCUCUGUUCCCUCUAAUUUUCUGUUUGUCACACAGGGGGAGCUGUCUGUCUGACAGCUGUGAGGGUGGAGGCAAGGGCUCAGGGGGAGGGGGCAGGGGUAGGAGCACAGGGCUGCUGGCUGCUGCUUCAACACCUUUUGAGGCUACACAAACCAUAAGGCUUUCUCUCAUUUCAGCAUCCCCUCUGCCUGUUUCCUGGCUGGGUGUGAUUGAAGUUAGCCAGCGUUUGGAUGUCCCCAGGAACACCACUGAAUGGGUUUGGGGACGUUAGCUUUCUGUAGCGGGAGCAGAUGUCCGAAAUGAUCCUCUUUGGAACGUUUGUUUUGCUUGGUUCUUGAGGUCACAGUCAGUUAGGCGUUGCUUGGAGCACAGUGAACAGAAUCCCUCACUUCAUGGCCAGUAAGUAAAGGAGGGGCAGAGGGAGGGCAUGCUUCGAAUAAUCCUGAAGACCUCUCAGCGGGCUCCACUUCUUAAAGCCCCACAACAUGCUUUAGCUCCAUUCUGGGGACGGACAUGCUUCAACACCGGACAUCCACGGAAUUAGAGGUCUGAACUCCAGCAAUGUCCUCACAGUAUUCACCGAGGGGCAACCACAGCGCUGGUUUCUCCAUAUCCUCUUCUUCCUGUGACUGCUCAGACUGACCCUAACCUCCACCCUCAAUCUUAUAGAUACUGGAAUCAUGAGUUGUGGCACCAUUCCAAGUCUGGCCACUUUUAAGACAUAAUACAGUUUCUUUUUUGCUUACAUGUAUGAUAAGUGUGUGUAUAUGUGCAUGGUGUGUGUGUGCAUGUGUGCGUGUGUGUGUGUGUGUGUGUGUGUGUGUGUGUGUGUGUGUGAAUGUGGGCCCACAUGUGUGGAGGUCAGAGGAUGGCUUUCCCUUUCUACCCUGGGUUCCAGAGCCUGAACUCAGACUUGGUUGACAAUCAGACUUGUGCUGAGUGUCUUGCUGGCCCACAUUUCACCAUUUUUUCACCGGAAGAGACAGUCAAAGCUGGAGAGUGCUCCAUAGUACAGCCAUUCCUGGAAUUUGCAAGGAUUAGAUCCCCAACACCAUAAACAAGUAAAAGGCAAUCAGUUGCUAUUGUCAAGGGUUGCACCAAUUUAUAAUCUCAACCACAGUACAAAACACAAUCCUUGUGCCGCUCUCCUGAGACUCUCCCUCAGUACCGAGUAUAGAGCCACCAUAAAGAGGCUCAUGUGAGAAUCUGUGUGGCACCCCUUUCUCUUUCUCCACAUCCCUGCCGACAUUUCUGUUCAUUCAUUUUCUUGAUGGUGGCUACUCUGAUGGGGUGGGAUGGUCUAUUAAUGUGAUUUCAGUUUAUAUUUCCCUCCUAGUUCAGGACAUUGAUCAGAUUUCCAAUGUUUAUUGGCCAUUUGUAUUUCUGCUUUUGAGAAUGGUCUCACUCAUUUGUCCAUUUAUUGAUUGGAUGAUUUGCUUGCUAAUUUUUGUGGUGAUGGUAUUUAAUUCAGAGGAGGCCCCGUAGAUUCUGGGUGUCAAUCCCCGCUCUGGUGUACGGCUGCAGAUCUCUGGUUUUAUAGGCUCCUACUUUACCCUUGUGACUCUUGGCAUUGUGGUGCAGAAACUUUUUUUUUUCUGUCAAUUUUAAGCUUAUUGUAUCGUAUUCCAACAGGAUACAUUGAGUUACUUUAAUCUUUUUGAAUUUGUAAAGAUUUAUCUUGAAUCUCAGAAGUGACCUGUUUUAGAGAGAUUUCCAUGUGCUGCUAAGUAGAAUGUGUGUUCUUUGUUGUCAGGUCCAUUGGUGUCUGAUGUCAACUAAAGUAGUUUUUGUCCACUUGAUCUGUUUACUUAGUAAAGUGUAUUGAAAUCACCUGCUAGUGGAUUGAUAUUAAUCUGUGUCUUUAAAUCCAGUAGUACAUUUUUAAUGAAAUUGAGUGUACCAGAGUUUGGUGUAUAUAUGUUUAUAAUCGUAAUGUCUUCUUGGUUAACUGUUCCCUUGAUUAGAAUAAAAUAUCCCUCCUUAUCUCUUCUGAUUUGUUUCAGUUUGAAGUCUGUGUUUUCAGCUAUUAGGAUAAUAUUCUGCUUUGUUUCUUGACCAAUUCAGUUUGCCUAUGUUCCCUGAUUGAAGAAUUGAGGUCACUAAGAUCUCAAGUUAUUACUGAAAUGUGUUUGUUAAUUGAGGUCAUCAUGUUCUUGAUUUUGGGCACUGCUGUCUGUGUUCUCAGUGGACCUUGGUGUUUACAUUGUCUUUGUAUUCUUUUCCAAUGUCUCUUGGCUGUGUUUUCUUAGGUUUGGUUUGAUGGAUAUAAAAAUUUAAAAGCUGCUUGUAUCAUAGAAAAAUUUUCUUUUCUUUCAACUAUGGUAGGUACUUUUGCUGGGUAUAUUAGCCUAGGUUAGCCAUCAUGGUCUUUUAGGACUUGUAAUGCAUUGAUCUUAUGGCUUUCAUAGUUUCCACUUCUUUUUUUUUCUUCUCCAUCUUUAUUAACUUGAGUAUUUCUUAUUUACAUUUCGAUUGUUAUUCCCUUUCCCGGUUUCCGGGCCAACAUCCCCCUAACCCUCCCCCUCCUCUUCUGUAUGGGUGUUCCCCUUUCCAUCCUCCCCCCAUAGUUUCCACUUCUUAUACCCGUGUGAGUAUGUCUUUUCUUACUUCGGAAAGUUUUCUUCAAUGAUCUUGUUGAAGGUCUGUUUUAUGCAAUUGAGUUGGAAUUCUCUCUCAUCUAUGGGUAUAAUUCUAAUCUUUGGCCUUUUCAUGGUGUCCUACAUUUCCAAUAUGUUGUUUUCUUGUGCUUAAAUUUUCUUUUCUAUUACUUGCUUAUUUGAUUUAGAUCUAUUCUAUCUUUGAGUCCUGGUAUAACAUUGUCUGCUUGCUCCGUUCUUCUCAUGAUACUUUCCUUUGAGUUUUCUAACUGGGCUAUCCAGCUUUUCAGUUCCAUCCUCAUUUCAGCUUGAAUCCUUUUCUUUUUUUAAAAAAGAUUUAUUUAUUUUUAUUUAUAUGAGUACACUGCAGCUGUCUUCAGACGCACCAGAAGAGAGCAUCAGAUCUCAUUACAGAUGGUUGUGAGCUACCAUGUGGUUGCUGGGACUUGAACUCAGGACCUUUGGAAGAGCAGUCAGUGCUCUUAACCGCUGAGCCAUCUUUCCAGCUCCAUGCUUGAGUCCUUUUCAAUGUUUCUAUUUCUUUAUUGAAUUCUCUUCCCAAGUCCAGAAUUGCCUUCAUCAUUUACAUCAGCAUUAUGCUUCUGUUUCCUUUGGUAUCAUUCAUGCAUUUAUCCUCCUCAAUUCCUUUUCUUAAUUUCAUUGAGAUUUUUUUCUCUUCUCACUUCAUUUUUUCUUUCUUUGUUGUUGUUGUUGCUGCUCCUCCUCCUCCUCUUCUUUCUUCUUCUUCUUCUUUUCCUUCUUCUUCUUCUUCUUCUUCUUCUUCUUCUUCUUCUUCUUCUUCUUCUUCUUCUUCUUCUUCUUCUCCCCCUCCUCCUUCUUUCUUCUUCUUGUUUUUGUCCUUUCUAAACUUUUUGAAUUCUUUGAUGAAAUUUAUGAUUGUUCUUUUGAACUCUGUGUCCAUUUACUUGGGAUUGUCCAGGUAUUUCUCAUUUGACAAACAUUUUACAGGACUGGUAGGUUUUGGAGAUGACAUCAUGGCCUGAUCUUUCAUAUUGUUUGUACUUUUGCAGUGAGAUUUGAGUGUGUGGACCUCUUUUGUUAGUUCUAUGUUUGAUACAAACAGAGCAGGUUAGAGCAGAAUAGAGGGUGUAAGGGCAGAUUUGGUCAAGAAGUUGGAAAUAGUUUAGGUAGGAUGAAGCCAGGUGUACAGAGCAGGAUGUGUAACAUGGUCCAAGCCAGGAGUGUGGUGGUGGAUCUGGCUGGGUGUAAAGCUUCAAUUUGGCUUGGGGAGCAGACAGAACAGGUCCUGAUAGGUGUCUAAGUGCUGGUUGAAGUACAGGUACGGGUUGCCGGAUAGGCCAAGACAUUUGAUGUGGGACCCAACCUAGAUCUAGAGGGUUGGGCAGUGUGUGCCAAAGGGGAGAGUCAGGCUGACUUACAGGGCUGGACACUUGAGAAGCUGCGAUGGGAUUUUUACUAGAGCUGAGCCAACAUAGGCACUGUGCCCAUGAACCUCCAAAACUGUGGGCCAAAUAAGUCUCUUCUCUGUAAGAAGCUAGCUUUUGUUGUGAUAAAAGAAAAUGAAUAGACCAAAUGAGUUCAGAGUUCAGUCAGGAAAGUGUUUGCCAUGUAAAUAAAAGGACCUGAGUUCAACAACCAGAACUCAAGUAAAGUUAAAAAUCAAGUGUGAGGGGAGGGAGGGCAUGUUUGUGAUCUCAGACUGGGUAAGCACAGAUACAAAGAUCCAGGAGACUCAUUGGACCUAACCUAGUUGGUAACCUCCAGGUCCUAGUAAGAGACACUGCCUCAAAAAACCCAGGGGAAUAAAGACACUGGGGGUUGACCUUUGUCUUAUGCUCUCUCUCUCUCUCUCUCUCUCUCUCUCUCUCUCUCUUUCUCUCUCUCUCACACAUGCACAUGUACACACACACAAACAUGCACAGUCACACACACUACACUCCACACUUACCAACACACACGUCAUACCCUCCCACAUCUCUCUCACACAGACACACACACACACACACACACAGACACACACACCCUGCAUACAUGCACACUCUGUCAAUUCUUGUCCUUUCUUUUUCCAGAGCUCCAAAGAGGUCAUUGUGAUGGUUUGAAUAUGUUUGGCCCAGGGAGUGGCACUAUUAGGAGGUGUGGUCUUGUUGGAGUAGGUGUGGUCUUCUUGGAGGAAUUCGUCACUGUGGGUGUGGGCUUUAAGACCCUUCUCCACUGCCUGGAAGCAAGUCUUCUCCUAGAGGCUGUCAGAUGAAGGUGUAGAACUCUCAGCUCCUCCUGUACCAUCCCUGCCUGGACACUGUCAUGUUCCCACCUUGAUGAUGAUGGACGGAAUCUCUGAACCUGUAAAUCAGCCCCAAUGAAACAUUGUCCUUAUAAGAGUUGCCUUGGUCAUGGUGUCUGUUCACGGUAGUAAAACCCUAACUAAGACAGCCAUGUCUGGGCUGAAAUCUCCAAAGGGAGAAUUGCUGAGUUUUAAGCUGACUUCACUCCAGGUGGGCAAGUCUGGGAGAGCAAGUAGAGGGGAAGCCUCAUGCAGUGACAGGAGUAGGGGACAGGUCAGGAGGGUUUGUUUGCCAGCAGUAUUUUUAUGGCAGUCAUCUCCUGUAUGACACUAGGGAAAAAGUAAGAACCCGAGGGAGGCAUUUUGAACAUGCACAUUCCUUUGAACAUAGCGUCACUCUGACAGAUAAACUCACACUCGUGCAGGGGUACAGAUUCGCCCACACUUGUGUACUGUGUAUUGACUGUGAUGACAAAGCUCUGAUCCAACCUACCUGGUUAUCAACCAAGGACUGUUCCAGUGAGUAUAGAAGACCCUGCACAAGAGACAGCUAUUCUCCACAUAGAAGGGUAUUGUUUUCAUUUUACCUGUAUGGAUUUUCUCUUCCAUAUAUGUAAGGCUAUGUACCACACAUGUGUCUAGUGCCUAUAGAAGGUGGAAGAGGCCAUCAGAUGCCCUGGAACUGGAAUUAUAGACAGUUGUGAGCUGUCAUGUGGGUGCUGUGAAUCAAGACUAGGUCCUCUGGAAUAACUGUACGUGCUCAUUACUCUUGUGAAUUUGGUCUAAUGCUGCUUAUAUUGUGUUCAUCUGGUCCCCCAGAUUGCACAAGAAUCCACACAUCCCCUGUCAGACACUGAGGGACCCUGCCCCCAGUUGGUUUUGAUUGGUAAAUAAAAUUGCUGGCGGCCAAUGGCUUGGCAGGGAGACAGAGGCGGGAUUUUAGGACUCCCUGGGCAAGGGGCUGAGGAAGGAGCAGGUAGAAGAUAGCUGUCAUGCCAGGGAUGGAAAGGGAGCAUCACACCUGAGAGGUGCAGGACAGAGAGACAGCCAACGCAUAAGAGCUGGGGAAGAGCAGCCUCAGGGAGUCUUCCAACUGGGUCUAGGGCAAUGAAGAUGGGAUAUAGAUUUUGGUAAUUACUCAGGAAUAUCAGAUGGGUGUGUAUUAGCCACACGGAGGUUUGGAAGUGGCUCAGCCAUUGAGCUAUUUAAGGCAUAUUAAAUAUAAGGCCGUGUGUGUGUGUGUGUGUGUGUGUGUGUGUGUGUGUGUGUGAGAAAGAGAGAGAGAGAGAGAGAGAGAGAGAGAGAGAGAGAGAGAGAGAGAGAGAACCCAGAAUGUUGGCAUGGGUAGCAAGGACUACUGCCACCUAAUUGGGGACAGCAAUACACUAUCACUGAGCUUUUUCUCUAGCCUGAGAUACAACUCUUUAAUUUCUCCAGAUCCUCAUUUAUACAGAGAAAUAGGAGGCAAAAAUCAAAAGCCCGAGGGCAAUAUUUACAACAGAAUUAGGCCCCAAAUUAUCAUUGCUAAUAUCAAUGUACAUAAGCCAAGCACCAAGACUUGCAUGCUACCCAGGGCCAAGGAAAGUAAGGAAUCCAGAAAGGUAGAUGCAAAGAGCCAACAACAACAGAGUCUCAGAACAAUCCAGGCUUUCAAGAGAAAGUUCAGGUGAUCAACUGAGACAGUGGAACCAUGAGUUCUGCCCGGCAAGGAACAAUGGAAAAGCCCCAAGACAAGGAGCAAGGGGACAGAGCAGUCACUUUGGACAGAAGAGUCAAAAUGGAACAGGGCAGUGCUAAGAGGAAGAGGAAGGAAAGACUGUGUGUGUGUGUGUGUGUGUGUGUGUGUGUGUGUGUGUGUGUGUGUGUCCUCAGGACACAUGGACAUUAGGAAUGUGGGACAAAGGUGAAAAGCCAACAGACUUUCACUAUGUACCUCUUGAGCUUUCACUGCUCCUGUUAUUCCUCAGGGGGGGGGGGAAUUCUCAAAGAGUCAGAAGCUCUGUUCCCUCUAAUUUUCUGUUUGUCACACAGGGGGAGCUGUCUGUCUGACAGCUGUGAGGGUGGAGGCAAGGGCUCAGGGGGAGGGGGCAGGGGUAGGAGCACAGGGCUGCUGGCUGCUGCUUCAACACCUUUUGAGGCUACACAAACCAUAAGGCUUUCUCUCAUUUCAGCAUCCCCUCUGCCUGUUUCCUGGCUGGGUGUGAUUGAAGUUAGCCAGCGUUUGGAUGUCCCCAGGAACACCACUGAAUGGGUUUGGGGACGUUAGCUUUCUGUAGCGGGAGCAGAUGUCCGAAAUGAUCCUCUUUGGAACGUUUGUUUUGCUUGGUUCUUGAGGUCACAGUCAGUUAGGCGUUGCUUGGAGCACAGUGAACAGAAUCCCUCACUUCAUGGCCAGUAAGUAAAGGAGGGGCAGAGGGAGGGCAUGCUUCGAAUAAUCCUGAAGACCUCUCAGCGGGCUCCACUUCUUAAAGCCCCACAACAUGCUUUAGCUCCAUUCUGGGGACGGACAUGCUUCAACACCGGACAUCCACGGAAUUAGAGGUCUGAACUCCAGCAAUGUCCUCACAGUAUUCACCGAGGGGCAACCACAGCGCUGGUUUCUCCAUAUCCUCUUCUUCCUGUGACUGGUAAAGGCUGCCCCACCUAACAUUAAGCUGGGCACACUCUUCUUUACCCCCCUGCUUUAGAAUGUAUGGGGCUUAACAGAGAUCCCUCCCCCCCCCCCCAGAGAAAUAGCUUGGCACUGAGAUAUUUAACUUGGGUUGCGUUUCAUAUAGAAUUUCAAUAUUCAAAACGGUUUGGGUAGAUUGCUUCUUUAAUAAGCUCCGUUAUUUCUCAACACUGUAUGUUCUUGGGUGACAUGUACAGUGACUUCAGAGGCUUAUAAUAUCUGAAAAGAAAAGAAAAUUGAGAGUUACUUGGAACAGUGUGUUCUGAAUAAGAGGGUGUCUACACAGACGUUAAACUGUCUUAAAGUUUAUUUCGAUUAUUUCAAAAAUUAUUUGAAAAAUGAUGGAGGCCUGUAUUUUAUAGAGAUUCUUUUUUUCCUGGGCCAUGUAAAUGAAUAUCCUUUUUUUUUUUUUUUUUUGGUUUCUUUUUUUCGGAGCUGGGGACCGAACCCAGGGCCUUGCGUUUCCUAGAUAAGCGCUCUACCACUGAGCUAAAUCCCCAGCCCCGUAAAUGAAUAUCCUUAUAUUUGUUGCUGAUCUCUCUCUCUCUCUCUCUCUCUCUCUCUCUCUCUCUCUCUCUCUCUGAUUUGCGUGUAGCUCAGACUGACCCUAACCUCCACCCUCAAUCUUAUAGAUACUGGAAUCAUGAGUUGUGGCACCAUUCCAAGUCUGGCCACUUUUAAGACAUAAUACAGUUUCUUUUUUGCUUACAUGUAUGAUAAGUGUGUGUAUAUGUGCAUGGUGUGUGUGUGCAUGUGUGCGUGUGUGUGUGUGUGUGUGUGUGUGUGUGUGUGUGUGUGUGAAUGUGGGCCCACAUGUGUGGAGGUCAGAGGAUGGCUUUCCCUUUCUACCCUGGGUUCCAGAGCCUGAACUCAGACUUGGUUGACAAUCAGACUUGUGCUGAGUGUCUUGCUGGCCCACAUUUCACCAUUUUUUCACCGGAAGAGACAGUCAAAGCUGGAGAGUGCUCCAUAGUACAGCCAUUCCUGGAAUUUGCAAGGAUUAGAUCCCCAACACCAUAAACAAGUAAAAGGCAAUCAGUUGCUAUUGUCAAGGGUUGCACCAAUUUAUAAUCUCAACCACAGUACAAAACACAAUCCUUGUGCCGCUCUCCUGAGACUCUCCCUCAGUACCGAGUAUAGAGCCACCAUAAAGAGGCUCAUGUGAGAAUCUGUGUGGCACCCCUUUCUCUUUCUCCACAUCCCUGCCGACAUUUCUGUUCAUUCAUUUUCUUGAUGGUGGCUACUCUGAUGGGGUGGGAUGGUCUAUUAAUGUGAUUUCAGUUUAUAUUUCCCUCCUAGUUCAGGACAUUGAUCAGAUUUCCAAUGUUUAUUGGCCAUUUGUAUUUCUGCUUUUGAGAAUGGUCUCACUCAUUUGUCCAUUUAUUGAUUGGAUGAUUUGCUUGCUAAUUUUUGUGGUGAUGGUAUUUAAUUCAGAGGAGGCCCCGUAGAUUCUGGGUGUCAAUCCCCGCUCUGGUGUACGGCUGCAGAUCUCUGGUUUUAUAGGCUCCUACUUUACCCUUGUGACUCUUGGCAUUGUGGUGCAGAAACUUUUUUUUUUCUGUCAAUUUUAAGCUUAUUGUAUCGUAUUCCAACAGGAUACAUUGAGUUACUUUAAUCUUUUUGAAUUUGUAAAGAUUUAUCUUGAAUCUCAGAAGUGACCUGUUUUAGAGAGAUUUCCAUGUGCUGCUAAGUAGAAUGUGUGUUCUUUGUUGUCAGGUCCAUUGGUGUCUGAUGUCAACUAAAGUAGUUUUUGUCCACUUGAUCUGUUUACUUAGUAAAGUGUAUUGAAAUCACCUGCUAGUGGAUUGAUAUUAAUCUGUGUCUUUAAAUCCAGUAGUACAUUUUUAAUGAAAUUGAGUGUACCAGAGUUUGGUGUAUAUAUGUUUAUAAUCGUAAUGUCUUCUUGGUUAACUGUUCCCUUGAUUAGAAUAAAAUAUCCCUCCUUAUCUCUUCUGAUUUGUUUCAGUUUGAAGUCUGUGUUUUCAGCUAUUAGGAUAAUAUUCUGCUUUGUUUCUUGACCAAUUCAGUUUGCCUAUGUUCCCUGAUUGAAGAAUUGAGGUCACUAAGAUCUCAAGUUAUUACUGAAAUGUGUUUGUUAAUUGAGGUCAUCAUGUUCUUGAUUUUGGGCACUGCUGUCUGUGUUCUCAGUGGACCUUGGUGUUUACAUUGUCUUUGUAUUCUUUUCCAAUGUCUCUUGGCUGUGUUUUCUUAGGUUUGGUUUGAUGGAUAUAAAAAUUUAAAAGCUGCUUGUAUCAUAGAAAAAUUUUCUUUUCUUUCAACUAUGGUAGGUACUUUUGCUGGGUAUAUUAGCCUAGGUUAGCCAUCAUGGUCUUUUAGGACUUGUAAUGCAUUGAUCUUAUGGCUUUCAUAGUUUCCACUUCUUUUUUUUUCUUCUCCAUCUUUAUUAACUUGAGUAUUUCUUAUUUACAUUUCGAUUGUUAUUCCCUUUCCCGGUUUCCGGGCCAACAUCCCCCUAACCCUCCCCCUCCUCUUCUGUAUGGGUGUUCCCCUUUCCAUCCUCCCCCCAUAGUUUCCACUUCUUAUACCCGUGUGAGUAUGUCUUUUCUUACUUCGGAAAGUUUUCUUCAAUGAUCUUGUUGAAGGUCUGUUUUAUGCAAUUGAGUUGGAAUUCUCUCUCAUCUAUGGGUAUAAUUCUAAUCUUUGGCCUUUUCAUGGUGUCCUACAUUUCCAAUAUGUUGUUUUCUUGUGCUUAAAUUUUCUUUUCUAUUACUUGCUUAUUUGAUUUAGAUCUAUUCUAUCUUUGAGUCCUGGUAUAACAUUGUCUGCUUGCUCCGUUCUUCUCAUGAUACUUUCCUUUGAGUUUUCUAACUGGGCUAUCCAGCUUUUCAGUUCCAUCCUCAUUUCAGCUUGAAUCCUUUUCUUUUUUUAAAAAAGAUUUAUUUAUUUUUAUUUAUAUGAGUACACUGCAGCUGCCUUCAGACGCACCAGAAGAGAGCAUCAGAUCUCAUUACAGAUGGUUGUGAGCUACCAUGUGGUUGCUGGGACUUGAACUCAGGACCUUUGGAAGAGCAGUCAGUGCUCUUAACCGCUGAGCCAUCUUUCCAGCUCCAUGCUUGAGUCCUUUUCAAUGUUUCUAUUUCUUUAUUGAAUUCUCUUCCCAAGUCCAGAAUUGCCUUCAUCAUUUACAUCAGCAUUAUGCUUCUGUUUCCUUUGGUAUCAUUCAUGCAUUUAUCCUCCUCAAUUCCUUUUCUUAAUUUCAUUGAGAUUUUUUUCUCUUCUCACUUCAUUUUUUCUUUCUUUGUUGUUGUUGUUGCUGCUCCUCCUCCUCCUCUUCUUUCUUCUUCUUCUUCUUUUCCUUCUUCUUCUUCUUCUUCUUCUUCUUCUUCUUCUUCUUCUUCUUCUUCUUCUUCUUCUUCUUCUUCUUCUUCUUCUUCUUCUCCCCCUCCUCCUUCUUUCUUCUUCUUGUUUUUGUCCUUUCUAAACUUUUUGAAUUCUUUGAUGAAAUUUAUGAUUGUUCUUUUGAACUCUGUGUCCAUUUACUUGGGAUUGUCCAGGUAUUUCUCAUUUGACAAACAUUUUACAGGACUGGUAGGUUUUGGAGAUGACAUCAUGGCCUGAUCUUUCAUAUUGUUUGUACUUUUGCAGUGAGAUUUGAGUGUGUGGACCUCUUUUGUUAGUUCUAUGUUUGAUACAAACAGAGCAGGUUAGAGCAGAAUAGAGGGUGUAAGGGCAGAUUUGGUCAAGAAGUUGGAAAUAGUUUAGGUAGGAUGAAGCCAGGUGUACAGAGCAGGAUGUGUAACAUGGUCCAAGCCAGGAGUGUGGUGGUGGAUCUGGCUGGGUGUAAAGCUUCAAUUUGGCUUGGGGAGCAGACAGAACAGGUCCUGAUAGGUGUCUAAGUGCUGGUUGAAGUACAGGUACGGGUUGCCGGAUAGGCCAAGACAUUUGAUGUGGGACCCAACCUAGAUCUAGAGGGUUGGGCAGUGUGUGCCAAAGGGGAGAGUCAGGCUGACUUACAGGGCUGGACACUUGAGAAGCUGCGAUGGGAUUUUUACUAGAGCUGAGCCAACAUAGGCACUGUGCCCAUGAACCUCCAAAACUGUGGGCCAAAUAAGUCUCUUCUCUGUAAGAAGCUAGCUUUUGUUGUGAUAAAAGAAAAUGAAUAGACCAAAUGAGUUCAGAGUUCAGUCAGGAAAGUGUUUGCCAUGUAAAUAAAAGGACCUGAGUUCAACAACCAGAACUCAAGUAAAGUUAAAAAUCAAGUGUGAGGGGAGGGAGGGCAUGUUUGUGAUCUCAGACUGGGUAAGCACAGAUACAAAGAUCCAGGAGACUCAUUGGACCUAACCUAGUUGGUAACCUCCAGGUCCUAGUAAGAGACACUGCCUCAAAAAACCCAGGGGAAUAAAGACACUGGGGGUUGACCUUUGUCUUAUGCUCUCUCUCUCUCUCUCUCUCUCUCUCUCUCUCUCUCUCUCUUUCUCUCUCUCUCACACAUGCACAUGUACACACACACAAACAUGCACAGUCACACACACUACACUCCACACUUACCAACACACACGUCAUACCCUCCCACAUCUCUCUCACACAGACACACACACACACACACACACAGACACACACACCCUGCAUACAUGCACACUCUGUCAAUUCUUGUCCUUUCUUUUUCCAGAGCUCCAAAGAGGUCAUUGUGAUGGUUUGAAUAUGUUUGGCCCAGGGAGUGGCACUAUUAGGAGGUGUGGUCUUGUUGGAGUAGGUGUGGUCUUCUUGGAGGAAUUCGUCACUGUGGGUGUGGGCUUUAAGACCCUUCUCCACUGCCUGGAAGCAAGUCUUCUCCUAGAGGCUGUCAGAUGAAGGUGUAGAACUCUCAGCUCCUCCUGUACCAUCCCUGCCUGGACACUGUCAUGUUCCCACCUUGAUGAUGAUGGACGGAAUCUCUGAACCUGUAAAUCAGCCCCAAUGAAACAUUGUCCUUAUAAGAGUUGCCUUGGUCAUGGUGUCUGUUCACGGUAGUAAAACCCUAACUAAGACAGCCAUGUCUGGGCUGAAAUCUCCAAAGGGAGAAUUGCUGAGUUUUAAGCUGACUUCACUCCAGGUGGGCAAGUCUGGGAGAGCAAGUAGAGGGGAAGCCUCAUGCAGUGACAGGAGUAGGGGACAGGUCAGGAGGGUUUGUUUGCCAGCAGUAUUUUUAUGGCAGUCAUCUCCUGUAUGACACUAGGGAAAAAGUAAGAACCCGAGGGAGGCAUUUUGAACAUGCACAUUCCUUUGAACAUAGCGUCACUCUGACAGAUAAACUCACACUCGUGCAGGGGUACAGAUUCGCCCACACUUGUGUACUGUGUAUUGACUGUGAUGACAAAGCUCUGAUCCAACCUACCUGGUUAUCAACCAAGGACUGUUCCAGUGAGUAUAGAAGACCCUGCACAAGAGACAGCUAUUCUCCACAUAGAAGGGUAUUGUUUUCAUUUUACCUGUAUGGAUUUUCUCUUCCAUAUAUGUAAGGCUAUGUACCACACAUGUGUCUAGUGCCUAUAGAAGGUGGAAGAGGCCAUCAGAUGCCCUGGAACUGGAAUUAUAGACAGUUGUGAGCUGUCAUGUGGGUGCUGUGAAUCAAGACUAGGUCCUCUGGAAUAACUGUACGUGCUCAUUACUCUUGUGAAUUUGGUCUAAUGCUGCUUAUAUUGUGUUCAUCUGGUCCCCCAGAUUGCACAAGAAUCCACACAUCCCCUGUCAGACACUGAGGGACCCUGCCCCCAGUUGGUUUUGAUUGGUAAAUAAAAUUGCUGGCGGCCAAUGGCUUGGCAGGGAGACAGAGGCGGGAUUUUAGGACUCCCUGGGCAAGGGGCUGAGGAAGGAGCAGGUAGAAGAUAGCUGUCAUGCCAGGGAUGGAAAGGGAGCAUCACACCUGAGAGGUGCAGGACAGAGAGACAGCCAACGCAUAAGAGCUGGGGAAGAGCAGCCUCAGGGAGUCUUCCAACUGGGUCUAGGGCAAUGAAGAUGGGAUAUAGAUUUUGGUAAUUACUCAGGAAUAUCAGAUGGGUGUGUAUUAGCCACACGGAGGUUUGGAAGUGGCUCAGCCAUUGAGCUAUUUAAGGCAUAUUAAAUAUAAGGCCGUGUGUGUGUGUGUGUGUGUGUGUGUGUGUGUGUGUGUGUGAGAAAGAGAGAGAGAGAGAGAGAGAGAGAGAGAGAGAGAGAGAGAGAGAGAGAGAGAGAACCCAGAAUGUUGGCAUGGGUAGCAAGGACUACUGCCACCUAAUUGGGGACAGCAAUACACUAUCACUGAGCUUUUUCUCUAGCCUGAGAUACAACUCUUUAAUUUCUCCAGAUCCUCAUUUAUACAGAGAAAUAGGAGGCAAAAAUCAAAAGCCCGAGGGCAAUAUUUACAACAGAAUUAGGCCCCAAAUUAUCAUUGCUAAUAUCAAUGUACAUAAGCCAAGCACCAAGACUUGCAUGCUACCCAGGGCCAAGGAAAGUAAGGAAUCCAGAAAGGUAGAUGCAAAGAGCCAACAACAACAGAGUCUCAGAACAAUCCAGGCUUUCAAGAGAAAGUUCAGGUGAUCAACUGAGACAGUGGAACCAUGAGUUCUGCCCGGCAAGGAACAAUGGAAAAGCCCCAAGACAAGGAGCAAGGGGACAGAGCAGUCACUUUGGACAGAAGAGUCAAAAUGGAACAGGGCAGUGCUAAGAGGAAGAGGAAGGAAAGACUGUGUGUGUGUGUGUGUGUGUGUGUGUGUGUGUGUGUGUGUGUCCUCAGGACACAUGGACAUUAGGAAUGUGGGACAAAGGUGAAAAGCCAACAGACUUUCACUAUGUACCUCUUGAGCUUUCACUGCUCCUGUUAUUCCUCAGGGGGGGGGGGAAUUCUCAAAGAGUCAGAAGCUCUGUUCCCUCUAAUUUUCUGUUUGUCACACAGGGGGAGCUGUCUGUCUGACAGCUGUGAGGGUGGAGGCAAGGGCUCAGGGGGAGGGGGCAGGGGUAGGAGCACAGGGCUGCUGGCUGCUGCUUCAACACCUUUUGAGGCUACACAAACCAUAAGGCUUUCUCUCAUUUCAGCAUCCCCUCUGCCUGUUUCCUGGCUGGGUGUGAUUGAAGUUAGCCAGCGUUUGGAUGUCCCCAGGAACACCACUGAAUGGGUUUGGGGACGUUAGCUUUCUGUAGCGGGAGCAGAUGUCCGAAAUGAUCCUCUUUGGAACGUUUGUUUUGCUUGGUUCUUGAGGUCACAGUCAGUUAGGCGUUGCUUGGAGCACAGUGAACAGAAUCCCUCACUUCAUGGCCAGUAAGUAAAGGAGGGGCAGAGGGAGGGCAUGCUUCGAAUAAUCCUGAAGACCUCUCAGCGGGCUCCACUUCUUAAAGCCCCACAACAUGCUUUAGCUCCAUUCUGGGGACGGACAUGCUUCAACACCGGACAUCCACGGAAUUAGAGGUCUGAACUCCAGCAAUGUCCUCACAGUAUUCACCGAGGGGCAACCACAGCGCUGGUUUCUCCAUAUCCUCUUCUUCCUGUGACUGCUCAGACUGACCCUAACCUCCACCCUCAAUCUUAUAGAUACUGGAAUCAUGAGUUGUGGCACCAUUCCAAGUCUGGCCACUUUUAAGACAUAAUACAGUUUCUUUUUUGCUUACAUGUAUGAUAAGUGUGUGUAUAUGUGCAUGGUGUGUGUGUGCAUGUGUGCGUGUGUGUGUGUGUGUGUGUGUGUGUGUGUGUGUGUGUGUGUGUGAAUGUGGGCCCACAUGUGUGGAGGUCAGAGGAUGGCUUUCCCUUUCUACCCUGGGUUCCAGAGCCUGAACUCAGACUUGGUUGACAAUCAGACUUGUGCUGAGUGUCUUGCUGGCCCACAUUUCACCAUUUUUUCACCGGAAGAGACAGUCAAAGCUGGAGAGUGCUCCAUAGUACAGCCAUUCCUGGAAUUUGCAAGGAUUAGAUCCCCAACACCAUAAACAAGUAAAAGGCAAUCAGUUGCUAUUGUCAAGGGUUGCACCAAUUUAUAAUCUCAACCACAGUACAAAACACAAUCCUUGUGCCGCUCUCCUGAGACUCUCCCUCAGUACCGAGUAUAGAGCCACCAUAAAGAGGCUCAUGUGAGAAUCUGUGUGGCACCCCUUUCUCUUUCUCCACAUCCCUGCCGACAUUUCUGUUCAUUCAUUUUCUUGAUGGUGGCUACUCUGAUGGGGUGGGAUGGUCUAUUAAUGUGAUUUCAGUUUAUAUUUCCCUCCUAGUUCAGGACAUUGAUCAGAUUUCCAAUGUUUAUUGGCCAUUUGUAUUUCUGCUUUUGAGAAUGGUCUCACUCAUUUGUCCAUUUAUUGAUUGGAUGAUUUGCUUGCUAAUUUUUGUGGUGAUGGUAUUUAAUUCAGAGGAGGCCCCGUAGAUUCUGGGUGUCAAUCCCCGCUCUGGUGUACGGCUGCAGAUCUCUGGUUUUAUAGGCUCCUACUUUACCCUUGUGACUCUUGGCAUUGUGGUGCAGAAACUUUUUUUUUUCUGUCAAUUUUAAGCUUAUUGUAUCGUAUUCCAACAGGAUACAUUGAGUUACUUUAAUCUUUUUGAAUUUGUAAAGAUUUAUCUUGAAUCUCAGAAGUGACCUGUUUUAGAGAGAUUUCCAUGUGCUGCUAAGUAGAAUGUGUGUUCUUUGUUGUCAGGUCCAUUGGUGUCUGAUGUCAACUAAAGUAGUUUUUGUCCACUUGAUCUGUUUACUUAGUAAAGUGUAUUGAAAUCACCUGCUAGUGGAUUGAUAUUAAUCUGUGUCUUUAAAUCCAGUAGUACAUUUUUAAUGAAAUUGAGUGUACCAGAGUUUGGUGUAUAUAUGUUUAUAAUCGUAAUGUCUUCUUGGUUAACUGUUCCCUUGAUUAGAAUAAAAUAUCCCUCCUUAUCUCUUCUGAUUUGUUUCAGUUUGAAGUCUGUGUUUUCAGCUAUUAGGAUAAUAUUCUGCUUUGUUUCUUGACCAAUUCAGUUUGCCUAUGUUCCCUGAUUGAAGAAUUGAGGUCACUAAGAUCUCAAGUUAUUACUGAAAUGUGUUUGUUAAUUGAGGUCAUCAUGUUCUUGAUUUUGGGCACUGCUGUCUGUGUUCUCAGUGGACCUUGGUGUUUACAUUGUCUUUGUAUUCUUUUCCAAUGUCUCUUGGCUGUGUUUUCUUAGGUUUGGUUUGAUGGAUAUAAAAAUUUAAAAGCUGCUUGUAUCAUAGAAAAAUUUUCUUUUCUUUCAACUAUGGUAGGUACUUUUGCUGGGUAUAUUAGCCUAGGUUAGCCAUCAUGGUCUUUUAGGACUUGUAAUGCAUUGAUCUUAUGGCUUUCAUAGUUUCCACUUCUUUUUUUUUCUUCUCCAUCUUUAUUAACUUGAGUAUUUCUUAUUUACAUUUCGAUUGUUAUUCCCUUUCCCGGUUUCCGGGCCAACAUCCCCCUAACCCUCCCCCUCCUCUUCUGUAUGGGUGUUCCCCUUUCCAUCCUCCCCCCAUAGUUUCCACUUCUUAUACCCGUGUGAGUAUGUCUUUUCUUACUUCGGAAAGUUUUCUUCAAUGAUCUUGUUGAAGGUCUGUUUUAUGCAAUUGAGUUGGAAUUCUCUCUCAUCUAUGGGUAUAAUUCUAAUCUUUGGCCUUUUCAUGGUGUCCUACAUUUCCAAUAUGUUGUUUUCUUGUGCUUAAAUUUUCUUUUCUAUUACUUGCUUAUUUGAUUUAGAUCUAUUCUAUCUUUGAGUCCUGGUAUAACAUUGUCUGCUUGCUCCGUUCUUCUCAUGAUACUUUCCUUUGAGUUUUCUAACUGGGCUAUCCAGCUUUUCAGUUCCAUCCUCAUUUCAGCUUGAAUCCUUUUCUUUUUUUAAAAAAGAUUUAUUUAUUUUUAUUUAUAUGAGUACACUGCAGCUGUCUUCAGACGCACCAGAAGAGAGCAUCAGAUCUCAUUACAGAUGGUUGUGAGCUACCAUGUGGUUGCUGGGACUUGAACUCAGGACCUUUGGAAGAGCAGUCAGUGCUCUUAACCGCUGAGCCAUCUUUCCAGCUCCAUGCUUGAGUCCUUUUCAAUGUUUCUAUUUCUUUAUUGAAUUCUCUUCCCAAGUCCAGAAUUGCCUUCAUCAUUUACAUCAGCAUUAUGCUUCUGUUUCCUUUGGUAUCAUUCAUGCAUUUAUCCUCCUCAAUUCCUUUUCUUAAUUUCAUUGAGAUUUUUUUCUCUUCUCACUUCAUUUUUUCUUUCUUUGUUGUUGUUGUUGCUGCUCCUCCUCCUCCUCUUCUUUCUUCUUCUUCUUCUUUUCCUUCUUCUUCUUCUUCUUCUUCUUCUUCUUCUUCUUCUUCUUCUUCUUCUUCUUCUUCUUCUUCUUCUUCUUCUUCUUCUCCCCCUCCUCCUUCUUUCUUCUUCUUGUUUUUGUCCUUUCUAAACUUUUUGAAUUCUUUGAUGAAAUUUAUGAUUGUUCUUUUGAACUCUGUGUCCAUUUACUUGGGAUUGUCCAGGUAUUUCUCAUUUGACAAACAUUUUACAGGACUGGUAGGUUUUGGAGAUGACAUCAUGGCCUGAUCUUUCAUAUUGUUUGUACUUUUGCAGUGAGAUUUGAGUGUGUGGACCUCUUUUGUUAGUUCUAUGUUUGAUACAAACAGAGCAGGUUAGAGCAGAAUAGAGGGUGUAAGGGCAGAUUUGGUCAAGAAGUUGGAAAUAGUUUAGGUAGGAUGAAGCCAGGUGUACAGAGCAGGAUGUGUAACAUGGUCCAAGCCAGGAGUGUGGUGGUGGAUCUGGCUGGGUGUAAAGCUUCAAUUUGGCUUGGGGAGCAGACAGAACAGGUCCUGAUAGGUGUCUAAGUGCUGGUUGAAGUACAGGUACGGGUUGCCGGAUAGGCCAAGACAUUUGAUGUGGGACCCAACCUAGAUCUAGAGGGUUGGGCAGUGUGUGCCAAAGGGGAGAGUCAGGCUGACUUACAGGGCUGGACACUUGAGAAGCUGCGAUGGGAUUUUUACUAGAGCUGAGCCAACAUAGGCACUGUGCCCAUGAACCUCCAAAACUGUGGGCCAAAUAAGUCUCUUCUCUGUAAGAAGCUAGCUUUUGUUGUGAUAAAAGAAAAUGAAUAGACCAAAUGAGUUCAGAGUUCAGUCAGGAAAGUGUUUGCCAUGUAAAUAAAAGGACCUGAGUUCAACAACCAGAACUCAAGUAAAGUUAAAAAUCAAGUGUGAGGGGAGGGAGGGCAUGUUUGUGAUCUCAGACUGGGUAAGCACAGAUACAAAGAUCCAGGAGACUCAUUGGACCUAACCUAGUUGGUAACCUCCAGGUCCUAGUAAGAGACACUGCCUCAAAAAACCCAGGGGAAUAAAGACACUGGGGGUUGACCUUUGUCUUAUGCUCUCUCUCUCUCUCUCUCUCUCUCUCUCUCUCUCUCUCUUUCUCUCUCUCUCACACAUGCACAUGUACACACACACAAACAUGCACAGUCACACACACUACACUCCACACUUACCAACACACACGUCAUACCCUCCCACAUCUCUCUCACACAGACACACACACACACACACACACAGACACACACACCCUGCAUACAUGCACACUCUGUCAAUUCUUGUCCUUUCUUUUUCCAGAGCUCCAAAGAGGUCAUUGUGAUGGUUUGAAUAUGUUUGGCCCAGGGAGUGGCACUAUUAGGAGGUGUGGUCUUGUUGGAGUAGGUGUGGUCUUCUUGGAGGAAUUCGUCACUGUGGGUGUGGGCUUUAAGACCCUUCUCCACUGCCUGGAAGCAAGUCUUCUCCUAGAGGCUGUCAGAUGAAGGUGUAGAACUCUCAGCUCCUCCUGUACCAUCCCUGCCUGGACACUGUCAUGUUCCCACCUUGAUGAUGAUGGACGGAAUCUCUGAACCUGUAAAUCAGCCCCAAUGAAACAUUGUCCUUAUAAGAGUUGCCUUGGUCAUGGUGUCUGUUCACGGUAGUAAAACCCUAACUAAGACAGCCAUGUCUGGGCUGAAAUCUCCAAAGGGAGAAUUGCUGAGUUUUAAGCUGACUUCACUCCAGGUGGGCAAGUCUGGGAGAGCAAGUAGAGGGGAAGCCUCAUGCAGUGACAGGAGUAGGGGACAGGUCAGGAGGGUUUGUUUGCCAGCAGUAUUUUUAUGGCAGUCAUCUCCUGUAUGACACUAGGGAAAAAGUAAGAACCCGAGGGAGGCAUUUUGAACAUGCACAUUCCUUUGAACAUAGCGUCACUCUGACAGAUAAACUCACACUCGUGCAGGGGUACAGAUUCGCCCACACUUGUGUACUGUGUAUUGACUGUGAUGACAAAGCUCUGAUCCAACCUACCUGGUUAUCAACCAAGGACUGUUCCAGUGAGUAUAGAAGACCCUGCACAAGAGACAGCUAUUCUCCACAUAGAAGGGUAUUGUUUUCAUUUUACCUGUAUGGAUUUUCUCUUCCAUAUAUGUAAGGCUAUGUACCACACAUGUGUCUAGUGCCUAUAGAAGGUGGAAGAGGCCAUCAGAUGCCCUGGAACUGGAAUUAUAGACAGUUGUGAGCUGUCAUGUGGGUGCUGUGAAUCAAGACUAGGUCCUCUGGAAUAACUGUACGUGCUCAUUACUCUUGUGAAUUUGGUCUAAUGCUGCUUAUAUUGUGUUCAUCUGGUCCCCCAGAUUGCACAAGAAUCCACACAUCCCCUGUCAGACACUGAGGGACCCUGCCCCCAGUUGGUUUUGAUUGGUAAAUAAAAUUGCUGGCGGCCAAUGGCUUGGCAGGGAGACAGAGGCGGGAUUUUAGGACUCCCUGGGCAAGGGGCUGAGGAAGGAGCAGGUAGAAGAUAGCUGUCAUGCCAGGGAUGGAAAGGGAGCAUCACACCUGAGAGGUGCAGGACAGAGAGACAGCCAACGCAUAAGAGCUGGGGAAGAGCAGCCUCAGGGAGUCUUCCAACUGGGUCUAGGGCAAUGAAGAUGGGAUAUAGAUUUUGGUAAUUACUCAGGAAUAUCAGAUGGGUGUGUAUUAGCCACACGGAGGUUUGGAAGUGGCUCAGCCAUUGAGCUAUUUAAGGCAUAUUAAAUAUAAGGCCGUGUGUGUGUGUGUGUGUGUGUGUGUGUGUGUGUGUGUGAGAAAGAGAGAGAGAGAGAGAGAGAGAGAGAGAGAGAGAGAGAGAGAGAGAGAGACCCAGAAUGUUGGCAUGGGUAGCAAGGACUACUGCCACCUAAUUGGGGACAGCAAUACACUAUCACUGAGCUUUUUCUCUAGCCUGAGAUACAACUCUUUAAUUUCUCCAGAUCCUCAUUUAUACAGAGAAAUAGGAGGCAAAAAUCAAAAGCCCGAGGGCAAUAUUUACAACAGAAUUAGGCCCCAAAUUAUCAUUGCUAAUAUCAAUGUACAUAAGCCAAGCACCAAGACUUGCAUGCUACCCAGGGCCAAGGAAAGUAAGGAAUCCAGAAAGGUAGAUGCAAAGAGCCAACAACAACAGAGUCUCAGAACAAUCCAGGCUUUCAAGAGAAAGUUCAGGUGAUCAACUGAGACAGUGGAACCAUGAGUUCUGCCCGGCAAGGAACAAUGGAAAAGCCCCAAGACAAGGAGCAAGGGGACAGAGCAGUCACUUUGGACAGAAGAGUCAAAAUGGAACAGGGCAGUGCUAAGAGGAAGAGGAAGGAAAGACUGUGUGUGUGUGUGUGUGUGUGUGUGUGUGUGUGUGUGUGUGUGUGUGUGUGUCCUCAGGACACAUGGACAUUAGGAAUGUGGGACAAAGGUGAAAAGCCAACAGACUUUCACUAUGUACCUCUUGAGCUUUCACUGCUCCUGUUAUUCCUCAGGGGGGGGGGGAAUUCUCAAAGAGUCAGAAGCUCUGUUCCCUCUAAUUUUCUGUUUGUCACACAGGGGGAGCUGUCUGUCUGACAGCUGUGAGGGUGGAGGCAAGGGCUCAGGGGGAGGGGGCAGGGGUAGGAGCACAGGGCUGCUGGCUGCUGCUUCAACACCUUUUGAGGCUACACAAACCAUAAGGCUUUCUCUCAUUUCAGCAUCCCCUCUGCCUGUUUCCUGGCUGGGUGUGAUUGAAGUUAGCCAGCGUUUGGAUGUCCCCAGGAACACCACUGAAUGGGUUUGGGGACGUUAGCUUUCUGUAGCGGGAGCAGAUGUCCGAAAUGAUCCUCUUUGGAACGUUUGUUUUGCUUGGUUCUUGAGGUCACAGUCAGUUAGGCGUUGCUUGGAGCACAGUGAACAGAAUCCCUCACUUCAUGGCCAGUAAGUAAAGGAGGGGCAGAGGGAGGGCAUGCUUCGAAUAAUCCUGAAGACCUCUCAGCGGGCUCCACUUCUUAAAGCCCCACAACAUGCUUUAGCUCCAUUCUGGGGACGGACAUGCUUCAACACCGGACAUCCACGGAAUUAGAGGUCUGAACUCCAGCAAUGUCCUCACAGUAUUCACCGAGGGGCAACCACAGCGCUGGUUUCUCCAUAUCCUCUUCUUCCUGUGACUGCUCAGACUGACCCUAACCUCCACCCUCAAUCUUAUAGAUACUGGAAUCAUGAGUUGUGGCACCAUUCCAAGUCUGGCCACUUUUAAGACAUAAUACAGUUUCUUUUUUGCUUACAUGUAUGAUAAGUGUGUGUAUAUGUGCAUGGUGUGUGUGUGCAUGUGUGCGUGUGUGUGUGUGUGUGUGUGUGUGUGUGUGUGUGUGUGUGUGUGAAUGUGGGCCCACAUGUGUGGAGGUCAGAGGAUGGCUUUCCCUUUCUACCCUGGGUUCCAGAGCCUGAACUCAGACUUGGUUGACAAUCAGACUUGUGCUGAGUGUCUUGCUGGCCCACAUUUCACCAUUUUUUCACCGGAAGAGACAGUCAAAGCUGGAGAGUGCUCCAUAGUACAGCCAUUCCUGGAAUUUGCAAGGAUUAGAUCCCCAACACCAUAAACAAGUAAAAGGCAAUCAGUUGCUAUUGUCAAGGGUUGCACCAAUUUAUAAUCUCAACCACAGUACAAAACACAAUCCUUGUGCCGCUCUCCUGAGACUCUCCCUCAGUACCGAGUAUAGAGCCACCAUAAAGAGGCUCAUGUGAGAAUCUGUGUGGCACCCCUUUCUCUUUCUCCACAUCCCUGCCGACAUUUCUGUUCAUUCAUUUUCUUGAUGGUGGCUACUCUGAUGGGGUGGGAUGGUCUAUUAAUGUGAUUUCAGUUUAUAUUUCCCUCCUAGUUCAGGACAUUGAUCAGAUUUCCAAUGUUUAUUGGCCAUUUGUAUUUCUGCUUUUGAGAAUGGUCUCACUCAUUUGUCCAUUUAUUGAUUGGAUGAUUUGCUUGCUAAUUUUUGUGGUGAUGGUAUUUAAUUCAGAGGAGGCCCCGUAGAUUCUGGGUGUCAAUCCCCGCUCUGGUGUACGGCUGCAGAUCUCUGGUUUUAUAGGCUCCUACUUUACCCUUGUGACUCUUGGCAUUGUGGUGCAGAAACUUUUAAAUUUCAUCUGCUCUUGUCUGUCAGGUCUAACGAUUAUUUCUGGAGUUUUCGGAGUUCUUCCCAGGAAUAUGCCUUUCCUAUUCUAAGCCAAAUCUCAAGAGCCCCUCCCUCCCCAUUUCCCUCUGGCAAUUUCUGAGUUUGGGGUCCUUCAUAGUGUCUAUGAAGGACCAUUUUGACUCAAUAUUUAUACAGAUGAAGAAAUAGGGUGUAUAUUUUUGCGUGUGAAUAUCUAGGAUGAAUGAAAAGGAGGGGGGUUGUGAAUAAAAUCACAAAU
Molecule: non-coding RNA, 28368 nt
Organism: Rattus norvegicus (Norway rat)
Lineage: Eukaryota; Metazoa; Chordata; Mammalia; Rodentia; Muridae
Source: RefSeq, a predicted model, not a curated record